This 274-nucleotide ribosomal RNA is filed under the name uncultured bacterium. RNAcentral's name for it is "partial 16S ribosomal RNA". It matches the Rfam family "Bacterial small subunit ribosomal RNA", at positions 523 to 796 of the family's 1533-position model. The record is from RNAcentral.
AUACGGAGGGUGCAAGCGUUACUCGGAAUCACUGGGCGUAAAGCGCGCGCAGGCGGUCUUUUAAGUUAGAUGUGAAAGCCUACGGCUCAACCGUAGAACUGCAUCCAAAACUAUUAGACUAGAGUGUGGGAGAGGAAGAUGGAAUUAGUUGUGUAGGGGUAAAAUCCGUAGAGAUAACUAGGAAUACCAAAAGCGAAGGCAAUCUUCUGGAACACUACUGACGCUGAGGCGCGAAAGCGUGGGGAGCAAACAGGAUUAGAAACCCUAGUAGUCC